Molecule: ribosomal RNA, 515 nt
Filed under: uncultured bacterium
Lineage: Bacteria
Description: bacterial SSU rRNA
Rfam family: Bacterial small subunit ribosomal RNA
Source: RNAcentral
GAUGAACGUUAGCGGGAGGCUUAAUACAUGCAAGUCGAGCGGUAAGUUUUUAUAGCAAUAUGAAGACCUAGAGCGGCGCACGGGUGAGUAACGCGUACACGACCUGGCCUAAACUGGGGGAUAGCCUUGGGAAACUGAGAGUAAUCCCGCAUGUGAUUAUGUUACUGAUGGUGAUAUAAUUAAAGCUUCGGCGGUUUAGGAUGGGUGUGCGUCUGAUUAGCUAGUUGGUAGUGUAACGGACUACCAAGGCGAUGAUCAGUAGGGGGCGUGAGAGCGUGACCCCCCACACGGGUACUGAGACACGGACCCGACUCCUACGGGAGGCAGCAGUAAGGAAUAUUGGUCAAUGCCCGGAAGGGUGAACCAGCCAUCCCGCGUGAAGGAUGAAGGGGCUCUGCCUUGUAAACUUCUUUUGUAUGGGGCGAAAAAAGGGGAUUUAUCCUCGACUGACGGUACCAUAAGAAUAAAGCACCGGCUAACUCCGUGCCCAGCCAGCCGCGGUAAUCUAGUCUACG